GCCCUAAUAGCUCAGCCCAGAGCGCCGGCCUUGUAAGCCGGAUGUCGGGGGUUAAAAUCCCCCUUAGUGCU
This 71-nucleotide transfer RNA is filed under the name Zu cristatus (scalloped ribbonfish). Its description in RNAcentral is "tRNA-Thr". It matches the Rfam family "tRNA". Rfam says of the family: Transfer RNA (tRNA) molecules are approximately 80 nucleotides in length. Their secondary structure includes four short double-helical elements and three loops (D, anti-codon, and T loops). Further hydrogen bonds mediate the characteristic L-shaped molecular structure. tRNAs have two regions of fundamental functional importance: the anti-codon, which is responsible for specific mRNA codon recognition, and the 3' end, to which the tRNAs corresponding amino acid is attached (by aminoacyl-tRNA synthetases). tRNAs cope with the degeneracy of the genetic code in two manners: having more than one tRNA (with a specific anti-codon) for a particular amino acid; and 'wobble' base-pairing, i.e. permitting non-standard base-pairing at the 3rd anti-codon position. Lineage: Eukaryota; Metazoa; Chordata; Actinopteri; Lampriformes; Trachipteridae. The record is from RNAcentral.